UACGUAGGGGGCAAGCGUUGUCCGGAUUUAUUGGGCGUAAAGAGCUCGUAGGCGGUUUGUCGCGUCGUUCGUGAAAACUCACAGCUUAACUGUGAGCUUGCGGUCGAUACGGGCAGGCUAGAGUUCGGUAGGGGAGACUGGAAUUCCUGGUGUAGCGGUGAAAUGCGCAGAUAUCAGGAGGAACACCGGUGGCGAAGGCGGGUCUCUGGGCCGAUACUGACGCUGAGGAGCGAAAGCGUGGGGAGCGAACAGG
This 253-nucleotide ribosomal RNA is filed under the name uncultured bacterium. RNAcentral describes it as "partial 16S ribosomal RNA". It matches the Rfam family "Bacterial small subunit ribosomal RNA", at positions 524 to 776 of the family's 1533-position model. The record is from RNAcentral.